CCCUUAGAUGUUCUGGGCCGCACGCGCGCUACACUGAUGCAUGCAACGAGUUCUAUCCUUGGCCGGAAGGCCUGGGUAAUCUGUGAACGUGCAUCGUGAUAGGGAUAGAUUAUUGCAAUUAUUAAUCUUGAACGAGGAAUUCCUAGUAAACGCAAGUCAUCAGCUUGCAUUGAUUACGUCCCUGCCCUUUGUACACACCGCCCGUCGCACCUACCGAUUGAAUGGUCCGGUGAAAUCUCGGGACGGCGGCUUGGUCGCUUGCGUCCGACUGCUGAAACUUGAUUAAACCAUAUCAUUUAGAGGAAGGUGAAGUCGUANCA
Molecule: ribosomal RNA, 320 nt
Filed under: uncultured eukaryote
Lineage: Eukaryota
Description: partial 18S ribosomal RNA
Rfam family: Eukaryotic small subunit ribosomal RNA
Source: RNAcentral